Molecule: long non-coding RNA, 1100 nt
Filed under: Brassica napus (rape)
Lineage: Eukaryota; Viridiplantae; Streptophyta; Magnoliopsida; Brassicales; Brassicaceae
Description: long non-coding RNA (BNAP_LNC010744)
Source: RNAcentral
UGAGCAACUACAAUAUGAAUAAUCAAGUCCAACUUGUUUGCUUGUGACUUGUGACUGAGCAAAAAUAAAAGUCAUCCUCUCUUUCUCACAAUCACACACACACAUACACUUGACUCGCAAACAAAAUCAAGAACCCAAUACCUAAACUACAUCCUGAUAUAAUUACAUAGAUGGAGGGAGAAACCGCUGCGAAGGCAGCAGGGAGUUCCUCAUGAAAAUAUGUGAUAUAAUUUUUGAUUCCACAUUAGAUUGAAGUUGCAUCUGAUUGUAAACAGUUUUUUUUUGGUUAUUCAAAAAAUGAUAUAUGGAUAAUUACUCUACUUUGUGACAAAAAAAAGGAUAAUUACUCUACUAUUUUUUAAGAAAGUAUCAGAAAUGUGAAAGUAUAUAUGUGAAAUAUAACCAAGAUUUAGGGCCAUAUAUAUGUAAAAUUUUAAUUACUCUCACUUUUUUUUUUUACAUUUUAGAUGAACACGCAACAUUAUUUUGACCAAAUCAACGGGUAUCCAAUAAAAAUAGUUAUAUUAUAAUCUUGUAAAUUGUCAUUACUAUACCUAUAAGCCUAAAUCCUUAAGGUUUGCCGACACUUGUAUUCAUUUGUUUUCUUAAUCCAAUAUAAUAUAGGUGUGAAUCUUAAGUCAACAAGAAGAUUUAUAAAAAAAGCAUACCAAGAAAUCAAAAUGAAUUUAUCAAACCAAAAAAACAAAAUGAAAGCUAAAACAUGAUGGGUAAUAGAAAUUAGAUGCAUCUCAAUUUCCAUCUUCUUUUUCCUCACAGAAAGAAAUAUGAUGAUGGGACGUAAAAAAAGGUGAGCAACUACAAUAUGAAUAAUCAAGUCCAACUUGUUUGCUUGUGACUUGUGACUCAGCAAAAAUAAAAGUCAUCCUCUCUUUCUCACAAUCACACACACACACAUACACUUGACUCGCAAAUAAAAUCAAGAACCCAAUACCUAAACUACAUCCUGAUAUAAUUACAUAGAUGGAGGGAGAAACCGCUGCGAAGGCAGCAGGGAGUUCCUCCUCAUCACCAAGCCGAUAUGAGUCACAGAAAAGACGAGACUGGAACACUGUCCUUCAGUAUUUAAAGAACCACAAGCC